This 401-nucleotide ribosomal RNA is filed under the name uncultured bacterium. RNAcentral's name for it is "bacterial SSU rRNA". It matches the Rfam family "Bacterial small subunit ribosomal RNA", at positions 917 to 1322 of the family's 1533-position model. The record is from RNAcentral.
GGGCCCGCACAAGCGGUGGAGUAUGUGGUUUAAUUCGAUGCAACGCGAAGAACCUUACCAGGGCUUGACAUGUCACAAAUCUUCCUGAAAGGGGAGAGUGCCUUAGGGAAUGCAGAUACAGGUGGUGCAUGGCUGUCGUCAGCUCGUGUCGUGAGAUGUUGGGUUAAGUCCCGCAACGAGCGCAACCCUUGUUUUUAGUUACCAAUUCGUUGGGUUUUCUAGAAAGACUGCCGGUGACAAACCGGAGGAAGGUGAGGAUGACGUCAAGUCAGCAUGCCCCUUAUGUCCUGGGCUACACACGUGCUACAAUGGUUAGGACAAAGAGUCGCAAAGCUGUGAAGUGAAGCUAAACCCUUAAAAAUAGUCUCAGUUCGGAUUGAAGUCUGCAACUCGACUUCAUG